Molecule: long non-coding RNA, 1392 nt
Organism: Oreochromis aureus
Lineage: Eukaryota; Metazoa; Chordata; Actinopteri; Cichliformes; Cichlidae
Source: Ensembl
UUUAUACACAAAUGUAAACAAAAUUCAACCUGUAUACACUGAAAAACUAAUCUAUUAAAUGGAGAAAUGUAAAACUAUACAAAUGGUAAAGUGUUCUUAUAACUAUGUAAUUGAUGUAAAAGGCUGACUUAAAUACAAACUCUAUAUAAAACUUAUUGAAAGUUCUUUAAAAACAGUUUUAUUGUAGCUUUUUCAAAAACUGUAUAUUGUUACUUCUAUUUUUUUUAACCAGACUGGAUAACAAAUAGGUCUAUACUUCUGUAAAGCAAUAUACAGAAUAAAUCUCAACAAUCAACAGUCUAUAAUAAAACUCUUAACUUUUAAGUAGACUUUGUGUAAAUCUUUAAGAUAUCUAAUACUUUAAGCAAAUAUGAGUGAUGGUGUGGUGAUCAGAUGACAGGCGAUGAAGAUUCUUCAGCUGGAUGUUCUGCAGCAGUCAGGAAACAGGAAGUCUGGGUUCUCAGGGCAGCCUCUAGAUGACAAUUGUAACUGAAUACUUACAGAGUGACAAAAAGGGGUUUGUCCUUAAAUAAUAAUAGUAUAAACUUGCAGUCAAAUGUUAUAGCCAAUGAAACAGACUUGAAAAAUAUAUUUGAAUCCAAUUUAUUAUCUAUGUGAAUAUAACAGUCUGAAUGUAUGUAUUACAAAAUAACCAGAUUAUCUUAUUACAAAUAAACCUUGAAAAAGUGUAAUGUAAAAAUUAAAAUGACAAAUGUAGGACUGUGUAAGUAGUUUCUACUGUGAGUUCUACUGUAGUGUAAUUCUACUACUGUAAUUUCAAGUUUCUACUUGUGAUUUCCAGCAAAAUGACUGGAUGUGAGAGAGUUUAACGACAGGAAAGAUGGAGCAGUGAGAGCAGAGAUCUCUCAGAAUUCUGAAAACAGAUCGACGAAGUUCUGGUAACUUCAAUUCAAAAACUUAGAUUCUGGUAAAACUUGAUUUCAAGUCACAGGAUUGCGUUUCAACUCAGGUUCAAGCUUGUCAACUUAGAUAGAGCUCAUGGCGGAGAAAUGAUAGAAGAUAGAAUGGCUUGUCAAAAAGAUGGAGCAGGGAGAGGGAGAGUGAUAGGACAGACUGAAUUGCUUGUUAAUGAUAGAGGGAGAGGGUAUUCUGCAGCAGGUCACCUGUAAGACAGAAAGAAAGUGGAAUUAGACACACUUCCAAUAAACCUGGCUUUACUGUAUUUUUCAGACUAUAAGGCACAUUUAAAAGCCUUUAAUUUUCUCAAAAAUAGACAGUGCACCUUAUGUAUGGUUGUGUUUACUGAUUUCAAACCAAUUCUAUGUGGUACACGGCACUCACGGCAUCUGUCAAAUGUUUUAAUAUGACUUUGGUAAGCUACAAAGCAGCACCACUUGAUGUAUUGUCGGAGCAUGGCUACCAUAGUCAGCA